GUCACGGAUUCACCAGUAACAUAUAACCACCCUUACUCUAGUCGCAUUCAAUGAGAACUAUCAUGGCUAGGAACAAUGCAGUUAAGUGCAAUUUAUUACAGCAAUAGGUACACAGGUUCUUUGGAUUGCUGGCGAUAGUUACUGUCUGCAAAAGCAAGCUAGCAUGCAUGAAAUACACAGUUGCGCAGCCUGGAAAUUAAUGUGUUAAAAGGCACACUCUAUAGAGAUUUCUAAGUUUCUGCGGAGACACACAGUAUAACCAAGUGUUCAAAUCUCACCCAAAGGCAUCCCAAUGGGGGGGAAGAGGGGCUCAGCCCAUCAACUAAUCCCAAGAGUCAGGAGGUCCUCGGGAUGGUAUCUCCCCUGACGCUGUAUCUUCCCCAACAUCCCCCCUCUCUUAGGCCAAUUUAUAUUAUUUUCUAUCUUUUAGGUGGAGCUUGAGUGACUCCAGUCAAGCAUAUCUUAGUUACAAUUGGUGAAAAGUUUUCCUGUCUCCGUUUAAAGGAAUAGGCUCCGAGAAAUUCAGAGCGCAUGCUCAGUGAGGGGUGGUCGCACCUUGGAGGCGGGUAAAUUUUGGGAUGGAGGUGUGUUUUGGUAAAAUAAUGAUAUUAUAAUGAGCAAAAGUACACCAGAGU
Oxyura jamaicensis (ruddy duck) is the source of this 635-nucleotide long non-coding RNA. RefSeq lists it as uncharacterized. The transcript has 2 exons. NCBI's taxonomy places the organism in Eukaryota, Metazoa, Chordata, Aves, Anseriformes, Anatidae. The record is from RefSeq and is a predicted model, not a curated record.